UACGUAGGGUCCGAGCGUUGUCCGGAAUUAUUGGGCGUAAAGGGCUCGUCGGCGGUUUGUCGCGUCGGGAGUGAAAACACGGGGCUUAACCCCGUGCCUGCUUCCGAUACGGGCAGACUAGAGGUAUGCAGGGGAGAACGGAAUUCCUGGUGUAGCGGUGAAAUGCGCAGAUAUCAGGAGGAACACCGGUGGCGAAGGCGGUUCUCUGGGCAUUACCUGACGCUGAGGAGCGAAAGUGUGGGGAGCGAACAGG
This 253-nucleotide ribosomal RNA is filed under the name uncultured bacterium. RNAcentral describes it as "partial 16S ribosomal RNA". It matches the Rfam family "Bacterial small subunit ribosomal RNA", at positions 524 to 776 of the family's 1533-position model. The record is from RNAcentral.